UAUUUAGUGCAUGGAAUAAUAGAAUAUGAUCUCGGUUCUAUUUUGUUGGUUUUCAGAACUCCGAGGUAAUGAUUAAUAGGGAUAACUGGGGGCAUUCGUAUUGCGACGUUAGAGGUGAAAUUCUUGGAUCGUCGCAAGACACAUCAGCGAAAGCAUUUGCCAAAGGUGUUUUCAUCAAGAACGAAAGUUAGAGGUUCGAAGGCGAUUAGAUACCGCCCUAGAUCUAACCGUAAAUAUG
This 238-nucleotide ribosomal RNA is filed under the name Antispila cornifoliella. RNAcentral's name for it is "partial 18S ribosomal RNA". It matches the Rfam family "Eukaryotic small subunit ribosomal RNA", at positions 799 to 1041 of the family's 1831-position model. The record is from RNAcentral. Lineage: Eukaryota; Metazoa; Arthropoda; Insecta; Lepidoptera; Heliozelidae.